RNAcentral lists this ribosomal RNA (268 nucleotides) under uncultured prokaryote. RNAcentral describes it as "partial 16S ribosomal RNA". It matches the Rfam family "Bacterial small subunit ribosomal RNA", at positions 524 to 791 of the family's 1533-position model. The record is from RNAcentral.
UACGUAGGUGGCGAGCGUUAUCCGGAAUUAUUGGGCGUAAAGAGCGCGCAGGUGGUUGAUUAAGUCUGAUGUGAAAGCCCACGGCUUAACCGUGGAGGGUCAUUGGAAACUGGUCAACUUGAGUGCAGAAGAGGGAAGUGGAAUUCCAUGUGUAGCGGUGAAAUGCGUAGAGAUAUGGAGGAACACCAGUGGCGAAGGCGGCUUCCUGGUCUGUAACUGACACUGAGGCGCGAAAGCGUGGGGAGCAAACAGGAUUAGAUACCCCGUA